This is a long non-coding RNA of Gorilla gorilla gorilla (western lowland gorilla), 1045 nucleotides long. RefSeq lists it as uncharacterized. The record is from RefSeq and is a predicted model, not a curated record. NCBI's taxonomy places the organism in Eukaryota, Metazoa, Chordata, Mammalia, Primates, Hominidae. The transcript is spliced from 3 exons.
AAAACUCAACGUGGCUAGCUUGUCCAGAAUCUCCCAAAAAGUUAGUAGAUGAUGAAGCCAGACUGGCACCAAAGCUUGCACUUUUAAUGAGGCAAUGAUGAAUCAAUCCCCUGAGGUAGAGACAAGGGUGACCAAAGACCCUCAAGUUUGCUGCCACUGCUCUGCACCCAGGAGAAUUUCCAGUACAACUUGGGGAACCAGGAACAGGCUGGACACAUGAUGAAAACCAGCCCUGCAGGCCACUUGUUCCAGAUCUCUCACAGAUUAUUGGGCACUGAAGUUAUAGUUGAUCUCUUUUUGAAAGUACUCUCCACUCUUCAACUCUUUGUAGGUUAAGAGGAAGCCAAGGAGGCACAAAAACAAAUAUUUCCUUUGGACUCUAGGGCUUUAUCAAUGUGAGGAACAGAGUUUAUUUCAAAAAACUUCCGCGCUCUUGUGAAAAGUAAAGAGAAGAAACAUUUUGACUGUUUUGUUAAUCUGUGACCUUGAGAACUGCCUUCAUUUUAUAACUGGAGAAGCAAAAUCCUAUUUUGUUGAGUGAAUGGGCAGAAAUUAUCUUCCCACUAUCCUAGAUGCAAUCAUAUAAUUUUCAGGUUGUUUGAAAAAGUCACCCUAAGAGUCAUAUAAAGAUGAAACGAGAGAUGAAAUACCCGGAAAUGUUUUGUUCCAGUUACUGUGGCUGCAUAACAAAUCACCCUAAAAUUUAAUGGAAUAAAACAUUUAUUAUACUCCGUAAUUCUGUGGGUAAUGAAUUUGGAAUGAGCGCAGCAUGAAUGGCUUGUCCUGCUCCACAAUGCCUGGUCAUCAGAUGGAAGACAGGAGGGCUAUGCACUAGAAUCAUCUGAAGGUUCACUCACUCACUUGACCAGCAGCUGCUUCUAGGUGCCAAAUGGAGCCACAGUUCCUCUCCACGUGGGCUUCUCAUGUGGUCUCUCUGCAUGGACUAGUUUGGACUAGUUUGUCACCAUGCUGCGAGUUAGUCCAAAGAUGUUCCAGCACUCUUUCCUUCAGAGCACGUAGUAGGAUUUUAUUUUCUACACCUUCC